AGAGUUUGAUCAUGGCUCAGAAUGAACGCUGGCGGCGUGGUUAAGACAUGCAAGUCGCACGGAAUCGUUAUAAAUGAGUCUUCGGAUGAUUUUGUAUCGGUUUAGUGGCGCAAGGGUGAGGAAUACUCGGGAACGUACCCCGUACACUGGGAUAGCUGUGGGAAACUGCAGGUAAUACCAGAUACUCUCCUUCGGGAGCAAAGGGUGGGGAUCUCUUCGGAGACCUGCCGGUAUGGGAGCGGCCCAAGUCCUAUCAGCUAGUUGGUGAGGUAAUGGCUCACCAAGGCAACGACGGGUACCGGGACUGAGAGGUUGAUCCGGCACAUCGGGACUGAGACACUGCCCGGACUCCUACGGGUGGCUGCAGUAACGAAUAUUCCGCAAUGGGCGAAGGCCUGAUCCAGCGACGCCGCGUGCAGGAUGAAGUCCCUCGGGAUGUAAACUGCUGUCGAGGGAUUAGUAAGCAAUUAGGCUCAAUAGGUCUAUGCGUUGAACAGUCCCACAGGAAGGUCCGGCUAACUUCGUGCCAGCAGCCGCGGUAAGACGGGAGAGGCAAGCGUUGUUCGGAAUCACUGGGCUUAAAGCGGGCGUAGGCGGAUGGCCAAGUAUCUUGUGAAAUCCCUCGGCUCAACCGAGGAAUUGCAGGGUAAACUGGUCGUCUUGAGGCAGGUAGAGGUAACUGGAACUCAUGGUGGAGCGGUGGAAUGCGUAGAUAUCAUGGGGGAACGCCAAAGGUGAAGACAAGUUACUGGGCCUGUCCUGACGCUGAGGUACGAAAGCGUGGGUAGCAAACAGGAUUAGAUACCCUGGUAGUCCACGCCCUAAACGAUGUAUACUAGUCCGGAGGAACUCUGACGUUUUUUCGGACGAAAUGAAAACGUUAAGUAUACCGCCUGGGGAGUACGGUCGCAAGGCUAAAACUCGAAGGAAUUGACGGGGGCUCACACAAGCGGUGGAGCAUGUUGCUUAAUUCGAUGCAACGCGAAGAACCUUAUCCUGGGCUUGACAUAUUUGGAUGACCAUCUGGAAACAGAUAGUCUGCUCUUCGGAGUGAAACUUAUACAGGUGCUGCAUGGCUGUCGUCAGUUCGUGUCGUGAGAUGUUGGGUUAAGUCCCGUAACGAACGAAACCCUUGUCACUAGUUGCCAGCGAGUAAUGUCGGGGACUCUAGUGAGACUGCCGGUGUUAAACCGGAGGAAGGUGGGAAUGACGUCAAGUCCUCAUGGCCUUUAUGCCCAGGGCUGCAAACGUGCUACAAUGGCUGGUACAAAGCGACGCGAGACCGUGAGGUGGAGCAAAUCGCAUAAAGCCGGCCCCAGUUCGGAUAGUAGUCUGCAACUCGACUACUUGAAGUUGGAAUCGCUAGUAAUCGCGUAUCAGCGUGACGCGGUGAAUGUGUUCCUGAGCCUUGUACACACCGCCCGUCAAGCCAUGGAAGCUGGUAGUACCCGAAGUCGUGCCGAUUCAGGCAUGCCGAAGGUAAGAUCGGUGACUGGGGCUAAGUCGUAACAAGGU
This 1515-nucleotide ribosomal RNA is filed under the name uncultured prokaryote. Its description in RNAcentral is "partial 16S ribosomal RNA". It matches the Rfam family "Bacterial small subunit ribosomal RNA". The record is from RNAcentral.